GACAGGCGGUCACGUGGCGUCCUCUCCACCGUCCCACCCAGCCCAGAAGUGACCUUUGCCGCAGACUGGGAGGCCACGCCGUGCCCACUGUGUCCCUGCAGCCCAGUGGGUAACUCUCCUCUGGGGAAGGAAGGGAGCUCCUGUGACUGUGACUGACUGUGGUGACUUGGCAGCCCGGUCACCCCGAGGCGGAUGGCACUGCGGUGGAACAGGCGGGCACCACCAAGAGGAUCUCAUAGGCCUGAGCCAAGCGGAUUAUGGGACAGGACAGGGACUCCUCCGUAGGUAAACUACAGGGGCAGCCCUACCACGUCCCUCUCCCAGGCUCGUACUCAGGGCCGCUGUGACGUCACUGCCUUCUAAGCCAUUUGGAGAGCACAUGGACUCCCCGGUACCACCGCCCACCAUGCUUGUAUGGCAGACGUUUUCCAUCCACCCAGCCACUGAGACUCUGCUUUGCAUCAAGGACUUUAGGAUCCAAGGGGCCAGCACAGCUGAGGCCAGAGAGAAAAGCCACCAGCCGAAUCUGAGUACAGAUCUUGCUCUAACUGCAGCCAGCAAUGAUUCAGCCCAA
Molecule: long non-coding RNA, 574 nt
Filed under: Fukomys damarensis (Damara mole-rat)
Lineage: Eukaryota; Metazoa; Chordata; Mammalia; Rodentia; Bathyergidae
Description: lncRNA (ENSFDAG00000022617.1)
Source: RNAcentral